GAUGAACGCUGGCGGCGUGCCUAAUACAUGCAAGUCGAGCGAACGGACGAGAAGCUUGCUUCUCUGAUGUUAGCGGCGGACGGGUGAGUAACACGUGGAUAACCUACCUAUAAGACUGGGAUAACUUCGGGAAACCGGAGCUAAUACCGGAUAAUAUUUUGAACCGCAUGGUUCAAAAGUGAAAGACGGUCUUGCUGUCACUUAUAGAUGGAUCCGCGCUGCAUUAGCUAGUUGGUAAGGUAACGGCUUACCAAGGCAACGAUGCAUAGCCGACCUGAGAGGGUGAUCGGCCACACUGGAACUGAGACACGGUCCAGACUCCUACGGGAGGCAGCAGUAGGGAAUCUUCCGCAAUGGGCGAAAGCCUGACGGAGCAACGCCGCGUGAGUGAUGAAGGUCUUCGGAUCGUAAAACUCUGUUAUUAGGGAAGAACAUAUGUGUAAGUAACUGUGCACAUCUUGACGGUACCUAAUCAGAAAGCCACGGCUAACUACGUGCCAGCAGCCGCGGUAAUACGUAGGUGGCAAGCGUUAUCCGGGAUUAUUGGGCGUAAAGCGCGCGUAGGCGGUUUUUUAAGUCUGAUGUGAAAGCCCACGGCUCAACCGUGGAGGGUCAUUGGAAACUGGAAAACUUGAGUGCAGAAGAGGAAAGUGGAAUUCCAUGUGUAGCGGUGAAAUGCGCAGAGAUAUGGAGGAACACCAGUGGCGAAGGAGACUUUCUGGUCUGUAACUGACGCUGAUGUGCGAAAGCGUGGGGAUCAAACAGGAUUAGAUACCCUGGUAGUCCACGCCGUAAACGAUGAGUGCUAAGUGUUAGGGGGUUUCCGCCCCUUAGUGCUGCAGCUAACGCAUUAAGCACUCCGCCUGGGGAGUACGACCGCAAGGUUGAAACUCAAAGGAAUUGACGGGGACCCGCACAAGCGGUGGAGCAUGUGGUUUAAUUCGAAGCAACGCGAAGAACCUUACCAAAUCUUGACAUCCUUUGACAACUCUAGAGAUAGAGCCUUCCCCUUCGGGGGACAAAGUGACAGGUGGUGCAUGGUUGUCGUCAGCUCGUGUCGUGAGAUGUUGGGUUAAGUCCCGCAACGAGCGCAACCCUUAAGCUUAGUUGCCAUCAUUAAGUUGGGCACUCUAAGUUGACUGCCGGUGACAAACCGGAGGAAGGUGGGGAUGACGUCAAAUCAUCAUGCCCCUUAUGAUUUGGGCUACACACGUGCUACAAUGGACAAUACAAAGGGCAGCGAAACCGCGAGGUCAAGCAAAUCCCAUAAAGUUGUUCUCAGUUCGGAUUGUAGUCUGCAACUCGACUACAUGAAGCUGGAAUCGCUAGUAAUCGUAGAUCAGCAUGCUACGGUGAAUACGUUCCCGGGUCU
Molecule: ribosomal RNA, 1372 nt
Filed under: uncultured bacterium
Lineage: Bacteria
Description: bacterial SSU rRNA
Rfam family: Bacterial small subunit ribosomal RNA
Source: RNAcentral